AAUCAACGCUGGCGGCGUGCCUAACACAUGCAAGUCGAACGCGAAAGCCCCGCAAGGGUAAGUAGAGUGGCAAACGGGUGAGUAACGCGUGGGUGACCUGCCUCCGAGCGGGGAGUAACGUCCCGAAAGGGACGCUAAUACCGCAUAACAUCCUGCUUUUUAACUAAGCGGAGAUCAAAGCUGGGGAGUCGCAAGACCUAGCACUCGAAGAGGGGCCCGCGUCUGAUUAGCUAGUUGGGGGGUAACGGCUCACCAAGGCGACGAUCAGUAUCCGGCCUGAGA
This 282-nucleotide ribosomal RNA is filed under the name uncultured bacterium. RNAcentral's name for it is "partial 16S ribosomal RNA". It matches the Rfam family "Bacterial small subunit ribosomal RNA", at positions 32 to 297 of the family's 1533-position model. The record is from RNAcentral.